GACGAACGCUGGCGGCGUGCUUAACACAUGCAAGUCGAACGGAAAGGCCCUGCUUUUGUGGGGUGCUCGAGUAGCGAACUGGUGAGUAACAAGUGAGUAACCUGACCUUGACUUUGGGAUAACUUCAGGAAACUGGGGCUAAUACCGGAUAGGAGCUCCUGCUGCAUGGUGGGGGUUGGAAUGUUUCGGUGGUUGGGGAUGGACUCGCGGCUUAUCAGCUUGUUGGUGGGGUAGUGGCUUAUCAAGGCUUUGACGGAUUCCUGGCCUGAGGGGGUGACCGGCCACAGUGAGACAUAGAUAGGGCCCUGAAUCCUUCGGGAGGCAGCAGUAGAGAAUAUUGCACAAUGGGCGGAGGCCUUAUGUAGGAACGCCGCUUGCGGGAGGACAGCAUUCGGGUAGUAACACGCUUUCGACUGGGACGAAGAGUGAGUGACGGUAAUGGAUAAAGAAGCACCGGCUAACUACGUG
This 468-nucleotide ribosomal RNA is filed under the name uncultured bacterium. Its description in RNAcentral is "partial 16S ribosomal RNA". It matches the Rfam family "Bacterial small subunit ribosomal RNA", at positions 28 to 507 of the family's 1533-position model. The record is from RNAcentral.